GACGAACGCUGGCGGCGUGCUUAACACAUGCAAGUCGAACGGUGAAGCGCCUUCCUUUUUGGUGGGUGUGGAUGAGUGGCGAACGGGUGAGUAACACGUGAGUAACCUGCCCCCUUCUUCUGGAUAACCGCAUGAAAGUGUGGCUAAUACGGGAUAUUCUGUGUCUGUCGCAUGAUGGGUCUGGGAAAGAUAUUGUUUCGGUGGGGGAUGGGCUCGCGGCCUAUCAGCUUGUUGGUGGGGUGAUGGCCUACCAAGGCGGUGACGGGUAGCCGGCCUGAGAGGGUGGCCGGUCACACUGGGACUGAGACACGGCCCAGACUCCUACGGGAGGCAGCAGUGGAGAAUAUUGCACAAUGGGCGCAAGCCUGAUGCAGCGACGCCGCGUGAGAGAUGGAGGCCUUCGGGUUGUGAACCUCUUUCGCCAGUGAAGCAGGCCUGCCUCGUUUGUGGGUGGGUUGACGGUAGCUGGAUAAGAAGCGCCGGCUAACUACGUG
RNAcentral lists this ribosomal RNA (494 nucleotides) under uncultured bacterium. RNAcentral's name for it is "partial 16S ribosomal RNA". It matches the Rfam family "Bacterial small subunit ribosomal RNA", at positions 28 to 507 of the family's 1533-position model. The record is from RNAcentral.